This 221-nucleotide ribosomal RNA is filed under the name uncultured bacterium. RNAcentral describes it as "partial 16S ribosomal RNA". It matches the Rfam family "Bacterial small subunit ribosomal RNA", at positions 524 to 742 of the family's 1533-position model. The record is from RNAcentral.
UACGUAGGGUGCAAGCGUUGUCCGGAAUUAUUGGGCGUAAAGAGCUCGUAGGCGGUUUGUUGCGUCGGCUGUGAAAACUCGAGGCUCAACCUCGAGACGUCGGUUGAAACCGUAUGGCUAGAGUCCGGAAGAGGAGAGUGGAAUUCCCGGUGUAGCGGUGAAAUGCGCAGAUAUCGGGAAGAACACCCGUGGCCGAAGGCGGCUAGCUCGUGGACGUACUG